ACGGGUGAGUAACACGUAGGCAACCUGCCCUCAGGACUGGGAUAACUACCGGAAACGGUAGCUAAUACCAGAUAAUUCACUUCUUCGCAUGGAGAAGUGAGGAAAGACGGAGCAAUCUGUCACCGGAGGAUGGGCCUGCGGCGCAUUAGCUAGUUGGAGAGGUAACGGCUCCCCAAGGCGACGAUGCGUAGCCGACCUGAGAGGGUGAUCGGCCACACUGGGACUGAGACACGGCCCAGACUCCUACGGGAGGCAGCAGUAGGGAAUCUUCCGCAAUGGGCGAAAGCCUGACGGAGCAACGCCGCGUGAGUGAUGAAGGUUUUCGGAUCGUAAAGCUCUGUUGCCAAGGAAGAACGUCCUUAAGAGUAACUGCUUAAGGAGUGACGGUACUUGAGAAGAAAGCCCCGGCUAACUACGUGCCAGCAGCCGCGGUAAUACGUAGGGGGCAAGCGUUGUCCGGAAUUAUUGGGCGUAAAGCGCGCGCAGGCGGUCAUUUAAGUCUGGUGUUUAAGCCCGGGGCUCAACCCCGGAUCGCACGGGAAACUGGAUGACUUGAGUGCAGAAGAGGAGAGUGGAAUUC
This 580-nucleotide ribosomal RNA is filed under the name uncultured bacterium. Its description in RNAcentral is "bacterial SSU rRNA". It matches the Rfam family "Bacterial small subunit ribosomal RNA", at positions 102 to 669 of the family's 1533-position model. The record is from RNAcentral.